UACGUAGGGGGCAAGCGUUGUCCGGAAUCAUUGGGCGUAAAGCGCGCGUAGGCGGCCCGGUAAGUCCGCUGUAAAAGUCAAAGGCUUAACCUUUGAAUGCCGGUGGAUACUGUCGGGCUAGAGUCCGGAAGAGGCGAGUGGAAUUCCUGGUGUAGCGGUGGAAUGCGCAGAUAUCAGGAGGAACACCAACGGCGAAGGCAGCUCGUUGGGACGGUACUGACGCUGAGGAGCGAAAGCGUGGGGAGCGAACAGG
RNAcentral lists this ribosomal RNA (253 nucleotides) under uncultured bacterium. Its description in RNAcentral is "partial 16S ribosomal RNA". It matches the Rfam family "Bacterial small subunit ribosomal RNA", at positions 524 to 776 of the family's 1533-position model. The record is from RNAcentral.